This 468-nucleotide ribosomal RNA is filed under the name uncultured bacterium. RNAcentral's name for it is "partial 16S ribosomal RNA". It matches the Rfam family "Bacterial small subunit ribosomal RNA", at positions 28 to 507 of the family's 1533-position model. The record is from RNAcentral.
GACGAACGCUGGCGGCGUGCUUAACACAUGCAAGUCGAACGGAAAGGCCCUGCUUUUGUGGGGUGCUCGAGUGGCGAACGGGUGAGUAACACGUGAGUAACCUGCCCCUGACUUUGGGAUAACUUCAUGAAACUGGGGCUCAUACCGGAUAGGAGCUCCUGCUGCAUGGUGGGGGUUGGUAAGUUUCGGCGGUUGGGGAUGGACUCGCGGCCUAUCAGCUUGUUGGUGGGGUAGUGGCUUACCAAGGCCUUGACGGGUAGCCGGCCUGAGAGGGUGACCGGCCACAUUGGGACUGGGAUGCGGCACAGACUCCUACGGGAGGCAGCAGUGGAGAAUAUUGCACAAUGGGCGGAAGCCUAGUGUAGCAACGCCGCGUGCGGGAUGACGGGCUUCGGGUUGUAAACCGCUUUCGCCUGUGACGAAGCGUGAGUGACGGUAAUGGGUAAAGAAGCACCGGCUAACUACGUG